ACUUCGAGUACAGCUCGGAGCUGGGCCAGACCCUCAUACACGGAAUGGGAGAGCGCCAUUUCGACACCAUCCUCCAUCGCCUCGAGCGCAAGUUCGGCGUGCAUGCGGAGCUGACCCGUCCGCGGGUGGCCUAUCGUGAGACGAUCAAGGGGAAGGCCGAGGGCCAGGGAAAGCACAAGAAGCAAUCGGGCGGACGGGGUCAGUACGGCGACUGCUGGAUCCGGAUGGCGCCGAGGCCCCGAGGCGCCGGCUACGAGUUCGUGGACGAGAUCGUGGGCGGCGUGAUCCCCAACAAGUACAUCCCGGCGGUCGAUCGUGGCGUCCAGGAGGCGGCCGAGCGGGGCGUCGUGG
This 351-nucleotide unclassified non-coding RNA is filed under the name uncultured bacterium. Its description in RNAcentral is "contains 16S-23S intergenic spacer region". The record is from RNAcentral.